UUUUUUAAGUCAGCAGUACUAUCCUACUUCUUUUGUGUUUUAUUUUAUCAACUUUAAAAACAUAUAGAGAUAGAAAGUAGGUGGGGAAUAAAUGUUCAGUAAAAGAAUUUUAAGGAGAAUUUAUAAACUGCCUUGAUCAUUGAAAGAACUUUUCCACCUUCAUAUAAAUAUACAAAGCAGUUAACUGAGAGGACAGUAGUAUCCUCACCAGAAAAGAUGCUUCUUCUACAGAAGCAGGAAGUAGGCUGAUUCUUUCAAUUGUGACACCAUUUUAAAACUAUAA
RNAcentral lists this long non-coding RNA (283 nucleotides) under Bos taurus (domestic cattle). RNAcentral describes it as "long non-coding RNA NONBTAT006733". Lineage: Eukaryota; Metazoa; Chordata; Mammalia; Artiodactyla; Bovidae. The record is from RNAcentral.